UGCGUAGGCGGUUUGUUAAGUCAGAUGUGAAAGCCCCGGGCUCAACCUGGGAACUGCAUUUGAUACUGGCAGGCUAGAGUACGGUAGAGGGUGGUGGAAUUCCCGGUGUAGCGGUGAAAUGCGUAGAGAUCGGGAGGAACAUCCGUGGCGAAGGCGGCCCCCUGGACGAAGACUGACGCUCAGGUGCGAAAGCGUGGGGAGCAAACAGGAUUAGAUACCCCAGUA
This 225-nucleotide ribosomal RNA is filed under the name uncultured Aquimonas sp. Its description in RNAcentral is "partial 16S ribosomal RNA". It matches the Rfam family "Bacterial small subunit ribosomal RNA", at positions 568 to 792 of the family's 1533-position model. The record is from RNAcentral. Lineage: Bacteria; Pseudomonadati; Pseudomonadota; Gammaproteobacteria; Lysobacterales; Lysobacteraceae.